Molecule: ribosomal RNA, 575 nt
Filed under: Staphylococcus sp. HMSC077H01
Lineage: Bacteria; Bacillati; Bacillota; Bacilli; Caryophanales; Staphylococcaceae
Description: bacterial SSU rRNA
Rfam family: Bacterial small subunit ribosomal RNA
Source: RNAcentral
GCUUACCAAGGCAACGAUGCGUAGCCGACCUGAGAGGGUGAUCGGCCACACUGGAACUGAGACACGGUCCAGACUCCUACGGGAGGCAGCAGUAGGGAAUCUUCCGCAAUGGGCGAAAGCCUGACGGAGCAACGCCGCGUGAGUGAUGAAGGUCUUCGGAUCGUAAAACUCUGUUAUUAGGGAAGAACAAAUGUGUAAGUAACUAUGCACGUCUUGACGGUACCUAAUCAGAAAGCCACGGCUAACUACGUGCCAGCAGCCGCGGUAAUACGUAGGUGGCAAGCGUUAUCCGGAAUUAUUGGGCGUAAAGCGCGCGUAGGCGGUUUUUUAAGUCUGAUGUGAAAGCCCACGGCUCAACCGUGGAGGGUCAUUGGAAACUGGAAAACUUGAGUGCAGAAGAGGAAAGUGGAAUUCCAUGUGUAGCGGUGAAAUGCGCAGAGAUAUGGAGGAACACCAGUGGCGAAGGCGACUUUCUGGUCUGUAACUGACGCUGAUGUGCGAAAGCGUGGGGAUCAAACAGGAUUAGAUACCCUGGUAGUCCACGCCGUAAACGAUGAGUGCUAAGUGUUAGGGGG